AAGAUCACACUUCAUAGGAUCAUUUCUAUAGUAUGAUUAGCGUGUUCACUCACCGAACUUCGCAAAAUACCCAGCCACGAUGAUGUGAGAAGGCGUUUUUUCCUGAGCGUGAAGCGAACUCUGAUUGAAGCUUAGGCUUUCAUCGAGUCAUUGAUGAUCGCAACUUUUGCCACUGCGGCGGGGG
This 184-nucleotide small nucleolar RNA is filed under the name Stegodyphus mimosarum. Its description in RNAcentral is "Small nucleolar RNA U3". It matches the Rfam family "Small nucleolar RNA U3", at positions 1 to 193 of the family's 219-position model. Rfam says of the family: Small nucleolar RNAs (snoRNAs) are involved in the processing and modification of rRNA in the nucleolus. There are two main classes of snoRNAs: the box C/D class, and the box H/ACA class. Lineage: Eukaryota; Metazoa; Arthropoda; Arachnida; Araneae; Eresidae. The record is from Rfam by way of RNAcentral.